RNAcentral lists this small RNA (1668 nucleotides) under Monodelphis domestica (gray short-tailed opossum). RNAcentral's name for it is "partial H19". The record is from RNAcentral. Lineage: Eukaryota; Metazoa; Chordata; Mammalia; Didelphimorphia; Didelphidae.
GGAGGAGUAGCCAGAAAGGUGGAAGAGACCCAGGAAAUGUAGCUUCGCGGAGGGCAGCGGGGCACGUCGGGAAGGAGGAGGGGACCCGGAGCCGGCCGGGGACAGCGAGGCAGGCCGAGGUGUGCGCAGAGGCGGGGAGAAGGCGCAGGGUGGCCCCUGGGAGAGCAGCGAGGGGACGCCAGAGCCGCCGCCUUCUCCAGGAGCUCUGCACCCCGGGAGCCGGAGCGGAGAAAGCAAACAGUGGGGCUCCGAGCGCUGUCUGCUUUAUCCGCUCCUGCCCCUGGGGCUGACCUAGCCGGCGCGGACGGGGCGGGGGCUAGGCAGGGGCUGCCGGGGGCCAGGACGCAGGGAGGGGCCAGACCACGCGGGGGUCAAGCAGCAAACCCGCAGCGGCCGUGCCGAGCUCCUGGAAGGACCUUGUGAGUGGGGGGCGCGCGGGGGGGGGGCGCGGAGCCGGGGGGCGCUGCCAGACGUCGGGGCCGCGCUCACCCGCGCCCGCGCUCUGGCCCUUCCAGAGAGCCGAGCGUCCUCCGGAGCCCGAGCUGAUCGCGCCACCAGCAGUGACUUCUCCAGGGACGGAUGGGCUCGCUCGAUCCAGGCUCUGUAUAAGUGAGUGCGCCUCGCGACCCCUCCCCGCCGGCUGGCCCCGGGUUCCCCGGCCCCCGUCUAACGCGGCCCUUCCUUCCUUCCUUCCUCUCCCCACCAGUCACUGAUCCAGCAGCAGUCAGUGAACCUUUCUGGCCCGCCACUCCCCCAGGCUCAAGCUCGAGGGCUUUUCAGAAAGGGUACGUGAGGGAAACUGAGGCUGGGGGAGGGGCCGGAGGAAGGAGGGGGGUCGGGGGCAGGCUGGCUCAGAGGCUCUCUCUGCUCUGGCAGGUACAUCCUGGCCAAGGCCUACCUGCCCGGCGGAUCGCCCGGGGGAGGACCCUUGCCCACCCGCGGCUCAGCGCCUCUGAGCUCUCACCAAGUCACUCAGGCCGGACAGCAGGGCCAGCUAGGUGAGCCCCGCCCCCUGCCCCCUGCCCCCUCCCCGCUGCCCGCUGCUGGCAGGCGCUGACUCGCCCUCGCCUUCCCACAGGCCUCGACUCUGCUCAUGGAUGGAUGAGGUGUCCCCCCAGUGGAAGAGUGCAGCCCGCUGGGGGGUGCUGGCCCCCCCACCGCCAGAGACCUCCCAGAAGCCCCCCCAAGAAAGCCCCGGCCGAGAGACACCCCAAACCCCCCCCACCAACUUGGCCCCUCCAAAGGUGUCUCCUCCUGGAAGCCUUCCUGAUGAGAGAUCCCCUCCCCUCCCCCCUCCCCCCUCCCCCAGCCUUCCCCUCCCCCUCUCCCUCCAGUCCCCCCUCCCGCCCCCCCCAGUGUCCUGUUCCUCGAUUCUGCGACCCUGACGCCCUUACAGACUCCAUUUGCACUAGCUGGUUCGUUUGCACUGAUGGGUGGAUGGUCCCCGCGAGUGUGCGCGUGCGUGUGUGUGUGUGUGUGUGUGUGUGUGUGUGUGUGUGUGUCGGUCCUGUCUCGGCCAGCCCGCUCCCCCAGAGCCCUGGCUGGCCCUCCACGCAUUCUCACCUCUCUCAGUUCUCUCUCCCCAUCCCCCUCCCCCAGAGCCCACCCCCAGGCUGGCUCUGCAUUCACUCAAUAAACACUGUUGACAGACAGCAGGGUUUCUCAGGA